AUUCUUUAAAACCCAACGCCCCAACUCUGGACACUGGAAUUUGGGUUUUUAAGGACUGGGAUGGAGGAGAUGAGGUGUCACGACAAACUGCAAAGCAAGCUGCCGCUGCUCUGAGGGGUGAGGAUGGAGGACAACUUACUCAACAGGUCUUUGUCAUUCUGCAGUGUGAAGUAAUGUUGAGGAGGCCUCAGCCAGACAGGACCUGCAUACUAAAGACAAUCAUUCAUCACUUAUCUAUGCAGAUGAAGGCUUCACACCAAACCACAUCAGCACGAACACUAAAGAUCAAACAACAAAGAAGAAGAUGUAAAACAACAACAACUUAAGAAGCAGAAUAAUAACAGAAGAAGAAAAGGAAG
Molecule: long non-coding RNA, 359 nt
Organism: Siniperca chuatsi (mandarin fish)
Lineage: Eukaryota; Metazoa; Chordata; Actinopteri; Centrarchiformes; Sinipercidae
Exons: 3
Source: RefSeq, a predicted model, not a curated record